AUUGAACGCUGGCGGCAGGCCUAACACAUGCAAGUCGAGCGAGUGGCGGACGGGUGAGUAAUGUAUGGGAAACUGCCCGAUUGAGGGGGAUAACUACUGGAAACGGUAGCUAAUCCCGCAUACCAUCAGAUGUACCCAUAUGGGAUUAGCUAGUAGGUGGGGUAACGGCUCACCUAGGCGACGAUCCCUAGCUGGUCUGAGAGGAUGACCAGCCACACUGGGACUGAGACACGGCCCAGACUCCUACGGGAGGCAGCAGUGGGGAAUAUUGCACAAUGGGCGCAAGCCUGAUGCAGCCAUGCCGCGUGUAUGAAGAAGGCCUUCGGGUUGUAAAGUACUUUCAGUCGGGAGGCGUUACCGACAGAAGAAGCACCGGCUAACUCCGUGCCAGCAGCCGCGGUAAUAC
RNAcentral lists this ribosomal RNA (406 nucleotides) under uncultured bacterium. Its description in RNAcentral is "partial 16S ribosomal RNA". It matches the Rfam family "Bacterial small subunit ribosomal RNA", at positions 30 to 526 of the family's 1533-position model. The record is from RNAcentral.